AAGGCAGCAGGCGCGCAAAUUACCCAAUCCCGACACGGGGAGGUAGUGACAAUAAAUACUGAUACGGGGCUCUUUUGGGUCUCGUAAUUGGAAUGAGUACAAUCUAAAUCCCUUAACGAGGAACAAUUGGAGGGCAAGUCUGGUGCCAGCAGCCGCGGUAAUUCCAGCUCCAAUAGCGUAUAUUAAAGUUGUUGCAGUUAAAAAGCUCGUAGUUGAACCUUGGGUCUGGCUGGCCGGUCCGCCUCACCGCGAGUACUGGUCCGGCUGGACCUUUCCUUCUGGGGAAUCUCAUGGCCUUCACUGGCUGUGGGGGGAACCAGGACUUUUACUGUGAAAAAAUUAGAGUGUUCAAAGCAGGCCUUUGCUCGAAUACAUUAGCAUGGAAUAAUAGAAUAGGACGUGCGGUUCUAUUUUGUUGGUUUCUAGGACCGCCGUAAUGAUUAAUAGGGAUAGUCGGGGGCGUCAGUAUUCAGCUGUCAGAGGUGAAAUUCUUGGAUUUGCUGAAGACUAACUACUGCGAAAGCAUUCGCCAAGGAUGUUUUCAUUAAUCAGGGAACGAAAGUUAGGGGAUCGAAGACGAUCAGAUACCGUCGUAGUCUUAACCAUAAACUAUGCCGACUAGGGAUCGGACGGUGUUUCUAUUAUGACCCGUUCGGCACCUUACGAGAAAUCAAAGUUUUUGGGUU
Molecule: ribosomal RNA, 686 nt
Filed under: fungal sp. K22
Lineage: Eukaryota; Fungi
Description: SSU rRNA
Rfam family: Eukaryotic small subunit ribosomal RNA
Source: RNAcentral